Molecule: long non-coding RNA, 1610 nt
Organism: Salvia splendens (bonfire salvia)
Lineage: Eukaryota; Viridiplantae; Streptophyta; Magnoliopsida; Lamiales; Lamiaceae
Exons: 3
Source: RefSeq, a predicted model, not a curated record
CUUCCUUCUACUUGAAAACUCUCGGCUCUCUCCCUCUUUGAAAUACAAGAAAAUUUUCUCUUCCAUUCUUGAUCAUGUCUUGAAAAGAAUUAAAGGAAAAUCAAGUGUAAAUGAUAAAGUUAAGCUACACCCAAAUGUUAGCAAAUGAAAGGAAAAAGGAUCGGCGAAAGAAGAAAUGUCGAAUGGAAAGGUUUGGAAACAACAUCAUCCAGGUAGCAUGCUCAACACUUAAAUGGCCUAAUUCUCUUGCGUAUUUUUCCGUGAUUAGUACGUGACUUAUUGUCUAAAUAAUUUAUGAUUAAUUAUGUGAUAAAAUAUUCAAGAAGUAAAAUAUAAGAAUAUGAUGGAUUGUUGAUUGAUUUGAUAAUGAAAUAUGUGAAAAGAGUAUACGUUGAGGAGAUGGAAAUAAAUGUGAUUAAAUGUGAUGAUGUCUGAUCUAUCUAUCUGUGAUGAGGUCUGAUUUGUCUGUCUGUGUUGAUGUAUUAUUAUUUUAGUAGAUUAUGAGUAAUUAUGUGAUAAAAGACUUAUGAAGUAAAACAUGAGAAUAUGGUGAAUUAUUGAAUGAUUUGGUAAUGAAGUAUGAAAAUGGAAGAAUAUGAUUGUGAAUGUAAAGAUGGUGAGAUGUAUACAAAUAAGAUUUACAUGUGAAAUUUGUCUGAUCGAUCUGUGUUGACGUCUGAUCUGUCUGUAUGGAUUUGUUAUGUUGGAAAUCGUUGAUGAUAAAGUAUACUUGUAAGUGCUUAUGCCCCGUGCUUGAAUGUGUUCUGUGGGUACAAUUGGCAUGCCAUAGGACAGCAGCGCUGCAUUAUCUAUGAUCUCUCGUCUUCUGGAUAACCGAAGCGAGGAUCGUCUGUUAUCUGAUCUGUCUGAUCUACACCCUAUGGGUGGUCAGUUCCCGGGAUUAUCUGUCUACAUCCGAAAUGGAUGGUCUGAUUAUCUGUCUGCACCCUAAUUGGGUGGUCAGUGCGGAGUCCUCUCGAGGACAAAAUCCGCGUCUGUAUCUGAUUCUGAUCGUGAUUCUGAUUCUGAUCUGGUCCGCGUACCCUAGUAUGUCACUAAGCACAUUAAGGGGCCAUGUGUGAAAUUAUGUGAUAAUGUCAAUCGAAAUAUUCGUGAUGAUAUAUGUGACAAUGUGUAUGGCAACAUAUGAGUUAUAAUAUGAGAUUAUGUGAAACAUCUGUUAAAAUUUGAUAUGAUAAUAUCUUAUACGUGAAAAUGGAUUCUGUUACAUGGUUCUGUUGAGUUUUUUCAUAAAUAUUGAAAAUCUGACUUGCAGAUGUAGUUUAUGACAUAUGUGAAGUUUUGUAUUAUUAUACCCCUCUGAUGACAUAGUUUGGAAAUUUGAAGUCGUGGACGGAGAUUUGACUACUGGUACGGGUUAAUUGGAUCAGGGAUUUCUUUGGAUAUUUCUUUCGUUUCUUUGCCAGCACUGCAUCCACGGUGGGUCACUAAUCACUGCUUGCGGCGUUUGUGUCCAUUUCUAUUAGAUGUGGCAUGUAUAGUAUUUGAACAUUUGCAAUAGCUUCCGCUGUGUUUGUAAAUAGUGUUGGAACUUUUGUUGAUAGGUUAAUGAAUUAAGUUUGGUUUUUAAUUGACCAUAAUUUAUGGCA